This 756-nucleotide ribosomal RNA is filed under the name uncultured bacterium. RNAcentral describes it as "bacterial SSU rRNA". It matches the Rfam family "Bacterial small subunit ribosomal RNA", at positions 8 to 796 of the family's 1533-position model. The record is from RNAcentral.
AGAGUUUGAUCAUGGCUCAGAAUCAACGCUGGCGGCGCGCUUAACACAUGCAAGUCGAGCGAGAAAGGGGAGCAAUCCCUGAGUACAGCGGCGUACGGGUGAGUAACACGUGGAUAAUCUACCUUCGAGUGGGGGAUAACUCUGGGAAACCGGAGCUAAUACCGCAUAAGCCUGUGAAGGGAAAGCAGCAAUGCGCUGGAAGAGGAGUCCGCGGCCGAUUAGCUAGUUGGUGAGGUAACGGCCCACCAAGGCGAUGAUCGGUAGCCGGCCUGAGAGGGCACACGGCCACACUGGCACUGAAACACGGGCCAGACUCCUACGGGAGGCAGCAGUGGGGAAUCUUGCACAAUGGAGGCAACUCUGAUGCAGCGACGCCGCGUGAGCGAUGAAGCCCUUCGGGGUGUAAAGCUCUUUCGGCAGGGACGAUAAUGACGGUACCUGAAGAAGAAGCUGCGGCUAACUACGUGCCAGCAGCCGCGGUAAUACGUAGGCAGCGAGCGUUGUUCGGAAUUACUGGGCGUAAAGAGUGUGUAGGCGGUGCUCUAAGUUCGGUGUGAAAUCUCCCGGCUUAACUGGGAGGGUGCGCCGGAAACUGGAGUGCUCGAGCGUGGGAGAGGAAAGCGGAAUUCCCGGUGUAGCGGUGAAAUGCGUAGAUAUCGGGAGGAANNCCUGCGGUGUAGACGGCUUUCUGGACCAUUGCUGACGCUGAGACACGAAAGCGUGGGUAGCAAACAGGAUUAGAUACCCCCGUAGUCC